RNAcentral lists this long non-coding RNA (4501 nucleotides) under Sus scrofa (pig). Its description in RNAcentral is "lncRNA (ENSSSCG00005009022.1)". Lineage: Eukaryota; Metazoa; Chordata; Mammalia; Artiodactyla; Suidae. The record is from RNAcentral.
UAAAUGUUUCUAAGUGCUCACACUGGUAUUCUCCCUCUGUGCUGCGGCAGAGCAGCCUGAAUUUAUAGCAUGUCUAGAGUUUUGUAUUGAAAAAGUAUAAAGACCUAUAGAAAAUCUUCCCAAAAGCCUCCUGAAGAAAUCUACACAUGUUGGCACCAUUGAGUGGUGUGAGCAGCCAAUUCAUACAUUAGAAAAGAAACUAGCAUUUAGGUAAUUUAAAUGUCUAGAAAGACUAGACUCUUGCAAACUUAAAGUUGGACUCUUUGAUUAAUUUAUUAUAUUAAGUCAAUGUUGGAAAAUACAACACGGUAUUAAAAACUUAUCUUAAAUGACUUUUUCCCAAAACUCCUACUAAGGAAUUAUUAAAGUUAAAUAUACUUUUGGCUUUAUACAGAUUACUUUAAUUCAACAACAAGAUGUAUAUUAUUUUAUAUACAAAAUAUAUACAUGUAUAUAAUUUAUAUAUAUAUUCAUUUUCUCUGAAGGCCAGGAGAAAAUAAAAACAAAAACAAACAAAACUCCUGUGUAGAUUUAAAAAUCAGCAGCCUAAACCAAAGCAAAACCUAAUAAAUGGGACUACAUCAAAUUCAAAAUCGUCAGCUCAGCAAAGGAAGCUAUCAACAAAAUGGAAAAUUUUGGAAAUCAUGUAUCCAAUAAGAUGUUAACAUUGAAAAUAUGCAAGAAACUCAUACAACUCAAUAGCACAAAAACAAACAACUCAUUUAAAAAUGAGCAAAGGACCUACAGACAUUUUUCUAAAGAAGAUAUAACAAAUGACCAGCAAAUACAUGAAAAUGUGCUCAGCAUCACUAAUGACCAAGGAAAUGCAAGUCAACACUAUAAUGAGAUAUUCCCACCUGUUAGGUCGAGUGAUAACAUAUGCCCUAAAGGAUAUGGAGAUAAGGAAACUCUAGCACACUGUUGGUGGUGCAAAUUUGUAUAGCCAUUACGGAUAAUAAUAAGGAUAAAUAAUGUGGUUCCUCAAGAAAUUAAAAAUAGAACUGCCAUAUGAUCUAGCAAUCCUACAUUUGGGUAUAUAUUCAAGGAAACAAAGUCAUUAUCUCAAAGAUAUCUAUGUAUCUCCAUGUUUAUUAUAGCAUUAUUCACAAUAGUCAAGAUAUAAAAACAAUUUAAGAUGCCCAUCAACAGAAAAAUGGAUAAAGCAAUGGAAUAAUAGCCUUAAAAAGAAAGAAAUCCUGUCAUAUGUGACAACAUGGAUGAACCUGGAGGGCAUUAGGCUAAGUGAAAUAAAACUGAUAAAGAAAGACAGAUACUCCAUUGUUUCACUUAUACCUGGAAUCUUAAAAACAAAAACACACUCAUAGAAACAGAGAGUAGAAAAGUGUUUGCCUGGGGCUGGGGUUGGGGAGGUAGUGGAAAUAGGGAGAGGUUGGUAAAGGGGUAUAAACUUUCAGUUAUAAAAUGAAUAAAGUCUAAGGAUCUAAUGUAUAAAAUGGUGACUAUAGUUGAUAACACUAAAUCAUAUACUUGAAAUUUGCCUAACUAAAGCAAUUUUAAUGAUUCUCAAAAAAUAUUCCAGUCAAUUCUAUGUUCACAGCUGAGAGAACCUUUAAUGACAAAGGCAUUUAGAAAAUAAUAAAUAAAGCAAAUACCUCUGUAAUAUAUCAGUGGUUAUUUUCUUCAAGAUAAUAUACGUACUUUGAGUAUAUUUCCUUGGGAAAAAAAAGUACACACAUACAUACACAUACAUGUAUGUAAAAACUAAAUACACAUAAAGAUCACAGUGCUGGUAUUUUGUUUCUUUUUAAGCAAAAUAUGGGUAUUUGUGAGUCGAAUUCUACAGCUUAAAAAUCAAGAAAAAUUUAAUCAGUGAGAAAACUGAAAAAUAAUUAUUGUGCAUCUUCAUUAAUGAUUAGCUUAAGACUGCUCUUGCAGAGCAUAAGGAAGCAUGUUUCCUGGGCCUGAUGUACUUUAUUUUUGUAGAGAUCUUUUUAGAUUGAAUUAUGUGUAUAUGUAAGGGCACUUGGUCAUCUGCUAGGUGCAUGACACCACAAGAUAAAUGCAGUGCAUCUUCCUAGAGUAACAAUUUUGUCCAAUGCUCUGGAGGUAGAGUAAGCUUAGUAUUUAACAGUAAGCAACUGAAGACUUUAUAUGAAAGCACACACACAAAGAUUAUAGGGCAGAAUGCAAAAUGCUCUUGAAAUUUUAUGAAAAAAAAGAUGAGGCAUCAAAUAAAUUUCCUCCAUGGUUGAUGGCAUAAUCUAUUUCCCUAAAUGGCAACAGAAGCAAGGAAACUUCUUAGAUGGGCUUAGAUCAGGUUUGCUCUCCUUAGAGGUACUUUGGGAGAAAUGUUUACUAUAUCAUUGCUCUAGUAGAUAAUUUAUUUUUCCUGUACCUAUGCAUCCUGCUUUUUACUUAACUUAUUAUUGGAAGAGUAGAAAGAUGAUGGCCAAGUAAGGUUGUUUUCUGGGUUUUAAGAACAAGUGCAGUAGUCCGUUCUAACUUUUAUCAAGGUCCAUUAGGUCUUUUUGGAUAGCCUCUGGGGUUGAAAGCUGGUGACAAUACCUACAACCCCAUUUCCAUCCUGUUGAGUUGGUCCUGAGUCCCAAACAUUGCUCCCUAGGGCUGUGGGUAAUGCCAGACAAUCAGUUCAGUCCGCACCAUUAACCUCCAGGGAUUAGUAGCUCUCUGUGCAAUUGAAUGUUCCCAGAUUCGUCCCUGUGGAGAGCCACCUGCCAAGACUCAGAACAUGCCAGACAAGCUAAGAAGCUAGUAAAAGAUUUAAAGCUCAAACUUGAGCUGAGCAAUCAGGCUAUUUUUCUUCCACAAUUUAUAGCUACUGUGGCAUGACCUAAUUUUUCAUUCGCAUUUUUUUAUUCCUUUAAAUUUUGUGGCCUGAUUUACCUGAUAGAAUUUUUUUCAUGAGAAUUAAUGGAAGUAGUUUCAAUUUUUCCAUCAUAAAAUUGGAAAACAUGCGCUAUUCAACAUACCUUUCAAAUCUGCAUUAAGUUCUCAUUGUGAAUACUUGAUAUGUAUUGAAAUAGGAGUUCUUGGCCUCUUGCAAGUGGGGACUAGCCUUUUUUGUAUGUGAUUGAGACACUCAACCAGUGAUAUGAAAGCAUGUAAGAAGCUCCAGUUCUGCACAGAGUUUACUCAAAGUGUGCAAAUCAUAAAACCCAGACUUGACUUGCCAUAGUUGAUGUACUGACAUAUAAAGUGGCAUAAGGUUAUCAAUUUACAUGCUUUAAAAGGGAUGCACAUUUUGUUAUCAAAAAUGAUAGACCAAGGAACAGAUGUACUCUGCUCCUGCCUGAAACAACCAAAAUCAAACAGAAUACAUAAAAAAACCAUUUUAAGGACUCUGGAUACUGGCUAAGAAGGGGCAGUAAAUCCUGAGAGAUGGAAAACAAGAAAAGCGUGUUGUGAUUUCCCCAGCUUACUGCCUGAAGCAUCCUGAGACUACAGUGCACAGAAAGAAAUCUCAGGUAAAGCCUAUCAACUCUCCAAGUUGAGUAAACUGAACUGAAAAUUUGGGGAGAAGAGCAUGGAAAGAUUUCGUCAAAUAGAAUCCUAGAGAACAGAGAGUUACACAGAGUGUAAAUUCCAGUCACUUUAGAGGCUCCUUCUCAGAUAUUGAGCAGAGUAUUUACUGAUCAGUGCACACUGAGAGAAAACUCCCCAAGGCUGGAUAGAAUCAUCUCAGAGGAAUAGAGAGGGACCCAUGCUCAGUUUUCACACUGGAAUAGGAAUAGUGCCUAUUUCCAUUACCCAGAGUAGAAAACCUCUUCAGGGCACACUGGUAGAGUGUUCAGAAAGUUCUCGACUCAGCAGUGGAAAAUGAUUAUCCUUAAACUAAAAGCAGCUCUGUUCUUACAUCUAGUGGAUAUUAUUCUUUUUUAAAAAUACCUAACGUAUCAAACUAUCUCUUAGUAACCAAACCGUAUUUUGGAAUAAAUCUCAUGAAUACCUCUAGGAAUACAAACAUAGAACAAAAAAAUUAUAAUAGUCACAACAUCUUGAAUUCAAAGAUUACUAGACAUGCAAAGAGGCAGAAUAUAACAUCCAUAAUGAGGAGGGAAAAAAUCAAUCAAUCAAAGCCAAUCCAUAAUCAACAUAGAUAUUAGAAUUAGCCAUUAAUGACAUUAAAACUGUAAUUAUAAUUGUAUUAUAAAAGUUUAAAAAUAUACAAAUUUGAUUUCUAAAGAUAGAAACUAUAGAUCUGCUCUGGACAAUACUCUAGAUGGAGUUGAUUACAGACUAGACAUUGCAGAAGAAAAUAGUAAUGAACUUGAAGAUAUAGCAGUAGAAACUACACAAAAUGAAACCAAGAUAGAAAACUAUAAGAAUAUCGGUGAUCUGUGCAACAACUUCCAGUAGCCUUUAAGAAUGUUAUUGGAGCUCCCAAAACAAAAUAUUUGAAGAAAUAAUGGCUAAACAUUUUUCAAAUUAAUUUUAAAAAGCCUAUAAAUCCUUAGAUCCAAAAAGCUCAAUGCACCCUAAACACAACACACUUGAAGAAAACCAUAUGUAAUUCAUAAUC